Molecule: transfer RNA, 89 nt
Filed under: Pseudomonas fluorescens
Lineage: Bacteria; Pseudomonadati; Pseudomonadota; Gammaproteobacteria; Pseudomonadales; Pseudomonadaceae
Description: tRNA-Met
Rfam family: tRNA
About the family: Transfer RNA (tRNA) molecules are approximately 80 nucleotides in length. Their secondary structure includes four short double-helical elements and three loops (D, anti-codon, and T loops).
Source: RNAcentral
CGCGGGAUGGAGCAGUCUGGUAGCUCGUCGGGCUCAUAACCCGGCUCAUAACCCGAAGGUCGUCGGUUCAAAUCCGGCUCCCGCAACCA